CACUAGGUUGGAAAAGUGACCUUGAGGUGUCCGGAAGCGGGGAAUGCGAUCCUCAAUUGGUUGAACCGGCGGGUUACGUGGUUGGCCCGGUCCUCCCCCUGUGGCGGCUCCCGCCCCAGGAGUUCGCGGAGUAUCGAACAGGCAGGUCGAGUUGAGAUCAGGAGGUAGGCGACCCUGGUGCCUCCGCUGAUGGACGGCGUCAGAUGCGCGUUGAUGUCUUUCGAGCCACCAGUUGUCAGUAUUUAAGCG
Molecule: long non-coding RNA, 249 nt
Filed under: Hordeum vulgare
Lineage: Eukaryota; Viridiplantae; Streptophyta; Magnoliopsida; Poales; Poaceae
Description: long non-coding RNA (HVUL_LNC018605)
Source: RNAcentral